CAGACUCAUUGACUGAGGAGAUGAGAGAGUCUUAAAAGAUAAGACUGGUGUUAGUUUGUCUUUGUGUUGUUAUCAACAAAUCCUGUUGUGAGACCCAAAUCAACUGAAGGGAACAUAAACGUCCGUACCAAAUGUCCUGGCAAUCUAGCCAGUAUUUGUCAAGAUGUUUCAGAGAGCGAAGUUGUGAACUGACAACUGACCAGGCGACCAACACCCAACAAUUUGUCUCCGCUUCCGGCCCCAUGUGUUUCCCAUCUGUCAUUAGUGAUUCCACCUGUGUCUCGUUACCACGCCCAGUUCCUGGUGUAUAUCGUCUGUGUGUUUGGUUCCCCUUGUUGCCAGUUAGUCUUCGUCCCAUGGUUCGUCCCAACCCUGAUCCUGCUUCUGUGACCCGACUCUGCCUUCGCCUACUCCUUGCGUGUUUUGUUUGCCUCGCUGACUGCCUUCCCUUGUACCAACCUGUUUUUGCUGUGCCGUCACUGAACCACCAAGAUAAAUCUGUGUAGUGAAAGAGCCACGCCGCGGAAUGACCAACAUAUAAGACUGUGGUUGAACUGGGAAACUUCCAGUUGUGUGUUGUGCAAAACGGACACUAAAACCUAGCCCAGACGGAAACAUGUGAACUCAGUAAUCAACAAAUUGUUCGAAUCAUCCAUUGAAACCUCUUAACUUCCAUUCUCUGCUCUUGUCAGGCAGUUGGACUGUUAAAAGAUGCGUCCGGGAAUGCAACAACUGUCCUCGCUUUAUUUUGUCUGGAACAUCGUAUUUAUUAACCACAGUCAUCAGCAAAGAAGCGAAGCCUGUGAUGGGGACACACUUGUCUAAACCAGAACAGAUAACUGGUGUAUGUUUCCUGUUUUUCUAUGUGCCAAUCAUUUUUAAUAGUUGAUGCACUGUCUGUGUUGCUCAGGAAUGUGUCAAAUGUUAAGGGAAGAUGUUCUUCUGCCUCCGAAACUCCACAUUAUCUUCAAAUCUGACUUUUUCUCUUUUGACUGAAAAAUAACUUCUAGACAAACAUUGGAAGAAAACUGUCACUACAUUCAGAACUGUUGCUGACAUUAUUGGGGCCACUAUUCCAGCCAUGCAGACAGACUUGGUUUCAUUUGUUCACGUUUUAAAAUAUGGACUUCUGCCUUUUAACCCAAUAAAAUUAAUGGAAAUGAAUUCAGGUUCUAAAAUAUAAACAAUUGAUGUUUCAAAAAUAAAAAAUCCUGUGUUUAUUUGUUCACUGUAAUUGUAUCAAUCCUAACUGUCCACUUCAAAUCUGUAAAUGGAGUUUGAGGAUUUGCUGUAAAGUAAAAAAGUGUAGAAAAGUUGGCAGCUAUUCUCCAGACGACUUUAGAAACUAUGAAUAUUGUUGAACCGCUCACCAGUGCGCAGAAUGUCUGUUACUAAUCCUGUGUUGCAAGAAUGUAUCCACACUGUGCCAGCUGUGCAGAGAAUACGCAGGAUUUUGGAGAGCUGGCAGACAUGCAAGUGAACAUAAUCUGUUGAGAAUAUAGAGGUUGCUUUUGUCUCUGCAAUCUUCACAUACUUCACAUAGUGUUUUAUGUGUUUAUUUUCUCAGUCGUGCGCGCCUACAGAACCCUGGUGCAUCACAUUUUGACCUAUACAGUAUCCAGGUCUGAGCCUGUUUAAUAAGGUCAGGUCACUGGUGUUACAUUAAUAGGUUGGGUAACGCCAAAUAGUCAUUUUCUGAGAGGCUUAACCUCUACCCAACAUUGCCCUAACACUGGAAUAUUCUCAAGCAUUUGUCAUUCUGUUGAUGACUUCUGCAUUUCCAAAAACAACUGUUCCUAUUGGUAGAUACCACUAGAAAAGGUGAACCAACUCUUUACCACGUAGUAGUUGUAUGUGUCAUCCUCAGAUUACCUCAUUGGGUUCUGACAACUGGAAACAAUUACAAUUGAAUAUGGUUUGUAUUUAUUUUCUGGGAUUUAAAAUCUAUUUCUGUGUCUGUGUUUCUGCCAGUACAGCCACUGAGAAGAUUGACGUGUGUGUGUGUGUGUGUGUGUGUGUGUGUGCGCUCGCGCUCCUGAUAACUGCAGAAUAAUGGAUGUGCCAAACCAAUUGAAAAGAGAGGAGGAUUUAUAUUAAAUGGCUCCUAGUGCUAAUUUCAGCUAGAACAUAUGAAUAGAGUUGAUAGGCAGACGUGUGUUGGGAAACAGAAUGCUUGCAGAGUGAGAUAAAGACUUGUGGCCUUCAGUAAAAGCAAUUCUUUGUUCUUCAGUAGAAAGCUCAGGAAUUGAUUGACUUGUGCAACAGGCUGCUUUUACCUCUGAAGGAUCUCGAGCACAUUAUGCGUGGUAUCGAUCUUCUCAUCUCACUCUCGGAAAACGAAAAUAUAAGCACAUUUCCCAAAACGUUAAACUACCAAGAUAGCAAAAGUUGCUAAUUCAACACUGAGUUACAGUCAGAGUGGAUGCUGUGUGGUUAAAGGUUGAACAAUCUAAUAUUUUACAGCAGAAGUUUAACUGCUCAGCAUUAUGUCAUUCAUCUGUCGCCAUCCUGUAGAGAUCAUUUUAUCUUUACAUACUGAAAUCCCUAAUGUUAGAUCACAAGGUUGUUUUAGUCCUGCUGCUCAGACUGAUAACUAAAUGUUGUAUAAGGUUCAUUGUUUUUUACCCAAAAGUACCAAGAUUCAGAUUUGUCUCAUUCUAGUCGUUCCUGCUACAAGAGGACACUGUGCACUGUCGAUAUGUUCAACACGGUCCUCAAAUGGUUAAACUUGAGUGUCGCAAAUGUUAAUGUAAUUUAAAAUGAAGACAUAUAAACUAUAUUCACAGUAGCUGCUAUUUGCAAAGGUACGGUGCACGCGCCCACGCUGGUGUGUUGUCACCACAUCGUUCCCACGUCAUUUACCUAUUUAAAACAAAAGCAGGUGCAGCCUCAGAGUGGAAAUGCAACGCUAUAGGUUUCCACUUGUGUUGAGAAAAGCAAAGUAAGAUCCGCAAAAAACAAGAGAGUAUAUGAUUAGGUAAGGCAUACAAAGGUGGUUCUGAAGUGUUUUGGGAGAAUGCAUCCUUCUUCACUAAUUAGCAUGCAUGUGAUAACAUGAAUGGAUAUUUAAAACCCUGCUCUGCUUCUAUCAUACAGCCUGCUGGCUGAUUAUUAUAACAUGGAAGCAGCCAUAAACACUGGAAUCAUCUUAAUGUUUAAAGAUUAACCAGUGGACUGGAUUUAUGAGUCAUGUUUGUGAGUAGAUUUGAAAUAAACAAGACAUAUAUUCUUGUCAAUACAUCAAGCGUU
RNAcentral lists this long non-coding RNA (3249 nucleotides) under Cottoperca gobio. RNAcentral's name for it is "lncRNA (ENSCGOG00000002527.1)". The record is from RNAcentral. Lineage: Eukaryota; Metazoa; Chordata; Actinopteri; Perciformes; Bovichtidae.